Molecule: non-coding RNA, 31 nt
Filed under: Rattus norvegicus (Norway rat)
Lineage: Eukaryota; Metazoa; Chordata; Mammalia; Rodentia; Muridae
Source: RNAcentral
UGCACAGGGCCUGUGUCAGGUACAGGUGAAU